This 578-nucleotide ribosomal RNA is filed under the name uncultured bacterium. RNAcentral describes it as "partial 16S ribosomal RNA". It matches the Rfam family "Bacterial small subunit ribosomal RNA", at positions 355 to 926 of the family's 1533-position model. The record is from RNAcentral.
UGGGGAAUUUUGGACAAUGGGCGAAAGCCUGAUCCAGCAAUGCCGCGUGUGUGAAGAAGGCCUUCGGGUUGUAAAGCACUUUUGUCCGGAAAGAAAUCCUUGGCUCUAAUACAGUCGGGGGAUGACGGUACCGGAAGAAUAAGCACCGGCUAACUACGUGCCAGCAGCCGCGGUAAUACGUAGGGUGCAAGCGUUAAUCGGAAUUACUGGGCGUAAAGCGUGCGCAGGCGGUUUGCUAAGACCGAUGUGAAAUCCCCGGGCUCAACCUGGGAACUGCAUUGGUGACUGGCAGGCUAGAGUAUGGCAGAGGGGGGUAGAAUUCCACGUGUAGCAGUGAAAUGCGUAGAGAUGUGGAGGAAUACCGAUGGCGAAGGCAGCCCCCUGGGCCAAUACUGACGCUCAUGCACGGAAGCGUGGGGAGCAAACAGGAUUAGAUACCCUGGUAGUCCACGCCCUAAACGAUGUCAACUAGUUGUUGGGGAUUCAUUUCCUUAGUAACGUAGCUAACGCGUGAAGUUGACCGCCUGGGGAGUACGGUCGCAAGAUUAAAACUCAAAUGAAUUGACGGGGUCAUAGCU